RNAcentral lists this ribosomal RNA (450 nucleotides) under uncultured bacterium. Its description in RNAcentral is "partial 16S ribosomal RNA". It matches the Rfam family "Bacterial small subunit ribosomal RNA", at positions 338 to 795 of the family's 1533-position model. The record is from RNAcentral.
CCUACGGGGGGCUGCAGUAAGGAAUAUUGGUCAAUGGACGCAAGUCUGAACCAGCCAUGCCGCGUGGAGGAUGAAGGUCCUCUGGAUUGUAAACUUCUUUUAUUUGGGAAGAAACUCCCGAUUUCCAUCGGGAUUGACGGUACCAGAUGAAUAAGCACCGGCUAACUCCGUGCCAGCAGCCGCGGUAAUACGGAGGGUGCAAGCGUUAUCCGGAUUCACUGGGUGUAAAGGGUGCCAAGGUGGGCAGUUAUAAAAUCUCCGGGCUUAACCCGGAAACUGCCAUUGAUACUAUUUGUCUUGAAUACUCUGGAGGUGAGCGGAAUAUGUCAUGUAGCGGUGAAAUGCUUAGAUAUGACAUAGAACACCCAUUGCGAAGGCAGCUCACUACGGAAAUAUUGACGCUGAGGCACGAAAGCGUGGGGAUCAAACAGGAUUAGAUACCCGGGUGUC